Molecule: ribosomal RNA, 419 nt
Filed under: uncultured microorganism
Description: bacterial SSU rRNA
Rfam family: Bacterial small subunit ribosomal RNA
Source: RNAcentral
GAGUUUGAUCUUGGCUCAGGACGAACGCUGGCGGCGUGCCUAAUACAUGCAAGUCGAGCGGAUCUUCAUUAGCUUGCUUUUGAAGAUCAGCGGCGGACGGGUGAGUAACACGUGGGCAACCUGCCUGUAAGACUGGGAUAACUUCGGGAAACCGGAGCUAAUACCGGAUGAUCCUUUUCCUCUCAUGAGGAAAAGCUGAAAGACGGUUUCGGCUGUCACUUACAGAUGGGCCCGCGGCGCAUUAGCUAGUUGGUGAGGUAACGGCUCACCAAGGCGACGAUGCGUAGCCGACCUGAGAGGGUGAUCGGCCACACUGGGACUGAGACACGGCCCAGACUCCUACGGGAGGCAGCAGUAGGGAAUCUUCCGCAAUGGACGAAAGUCUGACGGAGCAACGCCGCGUGAGCGAUGAAGGCCUU